GAUGAACGCUGGCGGCGUGCCUAACACAUGCAAGUCGAACGGAAAGGCCCUGCUCUUGUGGGUUGCUCGAGUGGCGAACGGGUGAGUAACACGCGAGUAAACUGCCCUUGACUUUGGGAUAUCUUCUGGAAACUGGGGCUCAUAUCGGAUAGGAUCUCCUGCUGCAUGUUGGGCAAUGGAAAGUUUCGGCGGUUGGGGAUGGUCUCGCUGGUUACCAGCUUCUUAGUCGGGUAGUGGCUUACCAAGGGUAUGACGGGUAGCCGGCAUGGGAGGGUAGCCGGCCACAAUGGGACUGAGGGACGCACCAGAAUCGUACGGGAGGCAACAGUGGGGAAUAUGGCGCAACGGGGGGAAGCGUGAUACAGCAGCGCCGCGUGCGUGAUGCCGGGCUACGGGUGGUAAACCGCUGUGGCAGUAGAUAAAGAGUGAGUGACGGUAAUGGAUCAAGAAGCCACGGCUAACUACGUG
This 468-nucleotide ribosomal RNA is filed under the name uncultured bacterium. RNAcentral's name for it is "partial 16S ribosomal RNA". It matches the Rfam family "Bacterial small subunit ribosomal RNA", at positions 28 to 507 of the family's 1533-position model. The record is from RNAcentral.